GGGCCUGUAGCGCAGUGGUCGACGCGCCCUCCGGACGGGGGGAGAACGCCGGUUCGAAUCCGGCCGGUCCCG
RNAcentral lists this transfer RNA (72 nucleotides) under Lentzea xinjiangensis. Its description in RNAcentral is "Lechevalieria xinjiangensis tRNA_Gly_CCC". It matches the Rfam family "tRNA". Rfam says of the family: Transfer RNA (tRNA) molecules are approximately 80 nucleotides in length. Their secondary structure includes four short double-helical elements and three loops (D, anti-codon, and T loops). Lineage: Bacteria; Bacillati; Actinomycetota; Actinomycetes; Pseudonocardiales; Pseudonocardiaceae. The record is from RNAcentral.